AUUGAACGCUGGCGGCAGGCCUAACACAUGCAAGUCGAGCGGAUGAAGGGAGCUUGCUCCUGGAUUCAGCGGCGGACGGGUGAGUAAUGCCUAGGAAUCUGCCUGGUAGUGGGGGAUAACGUCCGGAAACGGGCGCUAAUACCGCAUACGUCCUGAGGGAGAAAGUGGGGGAUCUUCGGACCUCACGCUAUCAGAUGAGCCUAGGUCGGAUUAGCUAGUUGGUGUGGUAAAGGCCUACCAAGGCGACGAUCCGUAACUGGUCUGAGAGGAUGAUCAGUCACACUGGAACUGAGACACGGUCCAGACUCCUACGGGAGGCAGCAGUGGGGAAUAUUGGACAAUGGGCGAAAGCCUGAUCCAGCCAUGCCGCGUGUGUGAAGAAGGUCUUCGGAUUGUAAAGCACUUUAAGUUGGGAGGAAGGGCAGUAAGUUAAUACCUUGCUGUUUUGACGUUACCAACAGAAUAAGCACCGGCUAACUUCGU
RNAcentral lists this ribosomal RNA (483 nucleotides) under uncultured bacterium. Its description in RNAcentral is "partial 16S ribosomal RNA". It matches the Rfam family "Bacterial small subunit ribosomal RNA", at positions 30 to 506 of the family's 1533-position model. The record is from RNAcentral.